RNA transcript from Gallus gallus (chicken), 4217 nucleotides. RefSeq lists it as uncharacterized. The record is from RefSeq and is a predicted model, not a curated record. The transcript has 6 exons. NCBI's taxonomy places the organism in Eukaryota, Metazoa, Chordata, Aves, Galliformes, Phasianidae.
GUCUAACAGCCAGGAUGCAGCUGGAGGAAGAAUCUUGACGCUUGCUUCUCUCCUACGCUCACAGGGAAGAAGCCUUUGCAAAGAAGAGGGAGAAAACAAUUCUGAGGGAGGAAUGUCCUGUACAGAAAGGGACAGAAGAAAACCCAGAGGCACCAUUGCCUGUAUGAUAGGCAGCUGUGGGAUCCUUUAACUAGAUAACAGCAGUAGGAAGGUCCUCUCCUUGAGACGCAGCUGGUCUGGCCAACAAACACUGUGAGGAAGAGCCAGGAACCUGUUUCUGAGCACCUCAGGGAUGAUGACUCCACCACCUCUCUGGGCAGCCCAUUCCAGCGCCUCACUAUGAUAUCAGGCUCAUCUCUGAGACUGCUGCCGGGAGAUCUGCACAUGUGGGGCUCUUCCUCCCUCUUUUGCCCUUGUGCCAGGCAAGGCUCAACACUGAGACCGGCACCACCAAGGCCUGUGCUGAUGCGGCGCUCUCUGCUGACGCUCGCAGGGGUCAUUCUCCAUCAGAUGAGGAGGUCCCAAAUGCAAGGAAGAGCCAAGUACAAAAUGCAAAUACUUAGAAAGGCAGGACACAAGAGAGAAGUUGGGAUGCGUUUCUUUGCAUGUGCCUUUCCUAAUCUGCUUGAGCUGUCUGAUGUCUUCAUACCUAAUAUAUUCUGCGUCUUUGAUCUGAGCUGGAGGAUGUAUUGAGGAGGAACAGUGAUUCACAGGAGAACAGGAUAUCCACAGGGAAGCCAGGUACCCAGUCCAGCAGAAUUCAUCAGCGCUAGGUGUGGGAGCUCUUGCUCUGAAACACUGUAAAUAAGAGAGAGUCAGAGGUUAUUAUAGGGAUGGGAAUAAACAAAGAAACACUAUUUAAACCUCCAAGCGUCAAAAAUGGUUUCUGAACGCCCACUCGAUCUGUUGGCAAAGCAAAACUCUGAAGUCCAGAAGAAAACAUCAAUAUCUACUUUGCAAAGAGCCUCUGUUUCAACAUUUGCUUCUGUUUUGGCUUCUGGAUUGUUUUUCCAAACUAGGGACACGCCUAGCAUUGGCCAACGGGGCUGAAACACCGGAUGCUGCCUUCGGGUGCCCAAGCACCCCAGAGACCUGGUCAACCCCAACCUUCAGCAUGGAGCACUGCCUGCAGGGUGUCUGGCGGCCCUGUGGUCCUGACGGGAGGAGGUAUUUGGUGUUGACACUGAAGAACCUUGCUCACAAAUGCCUGCAGUCGGUUUAGGUGGAACUCCUAAAGCACAAGGAGGAUGUUUUAAGCACCUAACUUAACAAAAAGAGGACAUGGUAGAUAUACUGGAACUCACAAACAGCCUUCAGCUGGCCUAUUUCCAGCGUCAAUGCCUUGUGCAUGGUAAUGGAUUUCAAAUUCACUAAAGAACACAGCUACAAAACCAAACAGGCCUUAACAUUUGACCUUCUUAGGGAAAACAAGCCUCCUAUUACCAAAGAAAACUAAGCAUGCCUGGCUAAUUUACUGAUCUUAGGGCAAGCUUUCUUUCCAUGACAGAACCUGAGGAAUGUAAAGCCUGCUUAUCUUUCAGCUAGCAUGGUUUCCUUUGGUCUCUCAUGGAGUAUCUGCAAAUCACCAUUCAUCUCCUAACACAUGGACUUGUCCUGUCUGUGUGGAGGGGACCAGCAACACGUUUGCCAUAAGGCUUUUUUAUGAUUCAGCAUUUCUGGAACAAAACACGAACAUCAAAUCAAAUAAUUACAUGCUGUUACAUCCUUGUUGCUGUUUGCUCAUCCACCCACAGCCAUUCCACUUAAGAUUAUCUAAUAAACAAUCUGAAGUAUUUUAGAGUAGCCUGUUUUUAUCCUCAGCCAAGAAGAGUUAGCAAUCCAAUGUUAAGCUAGCAGUUCCAAGUCUAUGACAGCGGUCUGACCCUCGACACAAAAGACAUUAAUGGUUUCUACGUGACCUAAGGCUCUAAUAUUUUAUAUAUUGUUAAAGAUGGCCAUCCAUAGGUGUAGAGAGCCUCACUAGGCAAAGGAGAAUUCCUCAAGGCUUGGAAGGACUAUUCUAGCCACAUGUUUUUUAAGACAUUCCUAAUUUAACAUUCACAACUAGAGACUGACCGUAACACAUAGUCUAUGACGGCCGACACCUGCUGUUCAUCUUACAAAGCCUGACAGGAAGGUAAGGAUUCCCUGCUAGGGGAUGUCUCAAAGGAACUUUCAAAAGCAACAGAAGUAGGGGCCCUGCAGAUGAAUCAGCUGAAGGCUGUCUUGAGCAAGCACUCUUUAUUGUAGAUUAUUUGGUUUCCCUGGCUUUUGGCAAGUCAGCCACACCAAAACUGGUCUUUUUUUCAGGAAACCAUCUCCAUGCUGUCUUUGAAAGCCUAUUCAUGGGUUUAAACUGAAGUGUUGAUAAAACUUUUGGUGAGGAUUAUCUUGCAAAAACGAGGACUUCUGGAAAAAGUAUCAUGAAAGACAUUUUGUGUUCUAUUUAACGUGCAUGUCAGUACACUGAAGACGAGAUAGAUCUGUUAUUGCUGUAUUAAGAAGCCAUUCAGAACUUUUAGUUCUGCAACGUAAAGCAAAAUGUAUUUUUGUUUUAAGGUGCAUCUUUGCUUUUGUGGUGACCCAGGCUGUGUUCAGCCAAUGAAUGCAGUCUGAAAUAAAGCACAUUCAAUGUGUGUUUUAAUUUGUGUAUAUGUAAAAUUCCCGUGAGGCAUGGGGAUGUAAUGCUACAGAUAGAGAGGUCUUGGGCUGACUACAGCUGAAGCAGCUGCCAGCGUUUUAGGUCUCGUAUUAAGAAGGAACAGGUAGGUCAUGCUGUAGCUUAUUAACCCCAAAUACAGGAUAUAGUCACAUUAUUUUAAUAGAGUCCCUGUCCUAAAACCAAUAUUGUCACAUGGACUGCAAGAGAACAAGCUGUCUUCAAAACCUGACGUCUACCUUAGCAGCAAACAUCAUGUCCUGUAAUGAGAAAUCAAUUGCAGUCCAAGCUGAAAGGAGAGCUCCAGGCAACCGCUCAAUUCUUUUUCUAGAGAAGGCCCCUGGCACUUAACAGGGAAGCAUCUGCAUGCCUCUCACAGAAGCUGACCAUGUCAUGUCCUUACUGUAGCUGUACUCGUGCCCAGUCUUUAGCCAGCACCUGUUUGCACCCUGUUGAUGGGAAUAGGUUGUGUGAAGAUGCCAGACUGUGACUGGGUGCACAGAGGAGAAACACGCACCCUGGCCUUUGAAUGUUUGAACAGCUGUCCUGGAUUUGCCAGAGGAUGUCUGACAGAGUCGUUAAAAAUUGAUCCCUGAGUAAACAACCCAAUGCUAUUUACUCCAAUUCAGCUGUGAUAAUUUACACCAUCCGAAGACUGCCAGUGCCUAAUCCUGAACUGUCAAAUCUCUGUGAUGUUUGCUACUAACUUGAACAGAAGGAUCCCUGAGGUAAGGGGAGUGCAAUUGCACACUACUACUACAGUGCACCACUAUUGAUUUGAAAGAAGAAAAUGAAGAUAUCACGCAAUUUAAAAUAGAAAAAGAAUUAAUUCAGAUUGAAAAUAUAAUUGCUAGCAGCAUUCCUACUUUGUGCAAAUGCAGAACACUUGUGUGCAUGUGUACAGCAUAGAUAUUGGUUACGUGCACGAUUAGAAUGGAACCAACAGGCACUGACAGAGGAGAGGUAGGGAGUGUAACCUUCUCUCUGCUCUGCUCAUUUUUCUAGGAUUUUUUUUCCCAUUGCCCAGUGCUAUAGAAGUACCUCACGGAAAACUCAUUUGGAAACAUUUUAGAGGGAAGGAAAACAGUACAGUCGUCAGGGUGGCAAAUGCCUAUCUUCUAGGAAAGUGUGAUGUCCUCCCAACUCCAUUUAACAACAUUAGAUAUAUCCAAGAUCCUGCUUCAAGUGAAUACUUCCUCAUCUGCUUUACAUGGUGAAGUGUGGUGACUGCUCGCCGUCUCUUGGUCCUUUUCCUCUAUUUAACUGCUGUUGACUUACCAAACGACAGACAUCUUAACUUUCCUCGUUAUGACAUUAUCUGUUGUCUUGUCAUUCCUGCUCUUCAAGAUACCGCUUCCAUCUCUUGACCUUGUUGUCUUCAAAACACCUGGAACAGAAAAGAUACGCAUGUAGACGGUCUGAUUCACCAGGCUGAAUUUUGUGUUCAAUUGGUGACUGCUUCUCUGUGCCAGUACAGUACUUCCUGGCAUUAAUUCUCAGAACACGAGCAGAGAAAAACUGCUAGUUAAAUAAAUAUUUAAGAUGCGUAUAUGGUAAA